AGUGAACGCUGGCGGUAGGCCUAACACAUGCAAGUCGCACGGCAGCACAGUAAGAGCUUGCUCUUACGGGUGGCGAGUGGCGGACGGGUGAGGAAUACAUCGGAAUCUACUUUUUCGUGGGGGAUAACGUAGGGAAACUUACGCUAAUACCGCAUACGACCUACGGGUGAAAGCAGGGGAUCUUCGGACCUUGCGCGAUUGAAUGAGCCGAUGUCGGAUUAGCUAGUUGGCGGGGUAAAGGCCCACCAAGGCGACGAUCCGUAGCUGGUCUGAGAGGAUGAUCAGCCACACUGGAACUGAGACACGGUCCAGACUCCUACGGGAGGCAGCAAUGGGGAAUAUUGGACAAUGGGCGCAAGCCUGAUCCAGCCAUACCGCGUGGGUGAAGAAGGCCUUCGGGUUGUAAAGCCCUUUUGUUGGGAAAGAAAAGCAGCAGGUUAAUACCCCGCUGUUCUGACGGUACCCAAAGAAUAAGCACCGGCUAACUUCGUG
This 492-nucleotide ribosomal RNA is filed under the name uncultured bacterium. Its description in RNAcentral is "partial 16S ribosomal RNA". It matches the Rfam family "Bacterial small subunit ribosomal RNA", at positions 29 to 507 of the family's 1533-position model. The record is from RNAcentral.